This 292-nucleotide ribosomal RNA is filed under the name uncultured bacterium. RNAcentral's name for it is "partial 16S ribosomal RNA". It matches the Rfam family "Bacterial small subunit ribosomal RNA", at positions 505 to 796 of the family's 1533-position model. The record is from RNAcentral.
GUGUCAGCAGCCGCGGUAAUACGGAGGGGGCCAGCGUUGUUCGGAAUUAUUGGGCGUAAAGGGCGCGUAGGCGGCUUGGCAAGUCAGUUGUGAAAUCCCUCGGCUCAACCGAGGAACUGCGACUGAUACUGCCGGGCUCGAGUCCCGGAGAGGGUAGCGGAAUUCCCAGUGUAGCGGUGAAAUGCGUAGAUAUUGGGAGGAACAUCGGUGGCGAAGGCGGCUACCUGGACGGGUACUGACGCUGAGGCGCGAAAGCUAGGGGAGCAAACAGGAUUAGAAACCCCAGUAGUCC